This is a long non-coding RNA of Scophthalmus maximus (turbot), 2168 nucleotides long. RefSeq lists it as uncharacterized. The transcript has 7 exons. Lineage: Eukaryota; Metazoa; Chordata; Actinopteri; Pleuronectiformes; Scophthalmidae. The record is from RefSeq and is a predicted model, not a curated record.
UGGCUUAGUGCUCUCUUACAGUUCAACACUGACCCCGCAUCACUGCAAAAGCCCCGCAGCCGGACUCCGUGAGGCAGCAGACUGGAUGUGUUGUCAUCCUAUUGAGCCUCACGUGUCACUGGGCGCCCAGACACAACCAGAGCAAGGGGUCAGGAGGUCAAGACGAGUUCAGCUCAGAGUGUGUGUGUGUGUGUGUGUGUGUGUGUGUGUGUGUGUGUCAGCUGUUGAAAAGGUUAUUAUCUGCUCUGGGGCAGAGCAGACAUGAUCUCCUCACCUUUUAAAUUUCACAUGAAUUAUUGAUAUGGUUUUUCUAUGCUUGCAGCAGGUCAUGACAUGUACAGUCUUGUACAUGGGAAUAAAACUGCAAAGUGUUUCACUCAUCCACCCCACAAAGCCGAUGAGUUUUUUACCCCCGUCCAUGGAGGUCUGUCCCUCGCUGAGUUUCAGAGGUCAGGGGCGUGAUGUCCAUCCACAACUCCUGGUUUCACAAAGGCAGACGCAAGAAUUGCGUUUGGACAAUCAGCUCCGGACCUCCGUCCUUCUCUCGGUCACAGGUGGUUCCGUUGCAGCGGCUCUUCCUCGUGCAUUCUGGGAGAGUGACCAAAAGCAGUUUUAUGACUGAGAGCUGCUGACGACUCACUUCCUGCCAAGAACCAGAGGUUCAAAGUGACCGGGCGCACACAUAUCGACACACGUGCAACGAGGAAGAAAACACAUGAACACUGGCACAAGGUGCAGUCAUCAGUGACUGUUCGUUUGAAGGAACAUAACGAUCAACAGAGACUGCUGCUGUUGUUGAUGCUGGGAUAUUCAUGAUACACCCGCAAAACCUUGAGCGUCUCAAGGUCUGCAGGGACAACAGCCGUUUGCAGAACGACUAGAAAACUCUUCCUGACAGCAGCCGUCUGCUGAAGGUGACGUAACAGCAUCGCCAUUUAUUACUAACUACUAUAUGUGGGAAAUAAGUGUCUAUCCUUCAGCAUAUUCAUUUCAAUAACCACCAUUUACAAUGACAUUCAUAAAAGGACAUUUUUUCAGCUAAACGGGAUUUGAAAAUUCCUAAGAAUGGUGUCAAAAUUUGAGCUUCAUACUUUAAUUUGCUCUGAUCACCUGGAGAUGUCUGUGGAUACCAGACCUCCAGAAAAGUAAUCAUUACAAUAUUCACAUUUCACAGAUUUGUACACAUCACAAAUCAUAGGCAUCUUUCAUUACUGUCUUUAAAACACAAAAAAAUCCCCUCACCCACACAUUUUCUCCACACUCCACUUCCCUUUGCACCUGCUCUCCCAUUACACCAUAACUUUUAUUAGUAUAAACGUUGCUCUUGUGCAGAGCUGAUGUGAAUAAUUACACUUUACAUUUUCAAGGUGUUAUUUAUGUUGGUGGAGCAGCCGCUGGCAUCCAGCGUCACAUCAUGCAGUCAUCCUCAUUCACAUCUUAGAGCUGCAAGGUGGAAUUAUAUAUGGAUAUUUUUCAAUUUGAGUUUUCUCAAAAGUGUAUAUUCUAAAUAUUGUUGUUAUUAUUAUUAUACUGAGGUAUUAGAGGUGCCCUAAAAUGACAUAUACAUGUAAUUAUUACCCACUUACAAGACAGACAUUUUCUCAAAUGGUCGACUUAGAAACAUACUGUAAAACCCCCAAAAAGAUAUUUAUGAUAUAAGAUAUAUAGGCAGCGACAUCACAUCUCAGCUUUGGCAUUGUGUGUGUGGUAAAGCUCGACACAUGUUGCUUUAAACUUCUUGAUACGCUCGCUCUCUCUUCCCAGCGCUGAAAGUUAGCCUGAUAAAUCAAUAAGGGCGAAAUGGACUGAGUGGCAGAGACGUGUGAAUAAGAGCCAGUGGUCAGAAAUGAUCACAAUGGAAAAGCUCUGGAGAAAGGGAAGCCUUCGUUUUCAAGACAAAGUCAUGUCUUGUACAACAGUGUGUGUGUGUGUGUGUGUGUGUGUGUGUGUGUGUGUGUGUGUGUGUGUGUGUGUGUGUGUGUUUGUGUUUGUCUGUGCGUGAGUGUGAGAAAGACUUUUUUUAAAAGAGCGGUGCAUGUGAUUAGCGGACAAGGGCCGGACAGGGGCCAGGCAGGGCAGCCUGCAGACGAACGCGGAGAAAGGGACAUUUACCUUGAACUCCAAUCGCUCCGUCUCUGGGGCGGGGUCAGGUAUUGUAGCCGGGCCUG